Molecule: long non-coding RNA, 6189 nt
Organism: Bactrocera neohumeralis
Lineage: Eukaryota; Metazoa; Arthropoda; Insecta; Diptera; Tephritidae
Exons: 4
Source: RefSeq, a predicted model, not a curated record
GUGUUGUGCGUUCACUGCUAUUCAGCAGGCUGGAGAAGUGUUCCCUCCAUAAUUUAAGUAUGCUCUGGGAAUCGGUCACUAGAUCACCUUUGGGGGUUCUACAAGAGUAUGCUCCGGUCCUUCUGUAAGCCGCCGCAUUUUUUCGUAGAAUUUUCGAGCAUUACCCCUGUCGGCCAGCUUAUCAAGCUCUUCGUACUCACGCAUUUCAGCCUCUUUCUUUUUCUGUCUACAAAUGCGUCUCGCUUCCCUCUUCAACUCUCGGUAUCUAUCCCAUCCCGCACGUGUUGUGGUCAAUCGUAACGUUGCGAGGUAGGCAGUCUGUUUUCUCUCCGCUGCGACACGGCACUCCUCGUCGUACCAGCUGUUCUUUUGCACUUUCCCAAUGCACCAAUGGUUUCGGUUGCAGCUGUACGUAAGGAAUUUGAAAUGCCGUCCCACAGUUCCCUUAUACCGGGUUGUUGACGAGUGCUCUCAGAGAGCAGGAGUGCAAGCCGAGUAGAAAAUCGUUCGGCUGUCUGUUGUGAUUGCAGCUUCUCGACGUCGAACCUUCCUUGUGUUUGUUGGCGUGUGUUUUUUGCUGCACAGAGGCGGGUGCGAAUCUUGGCUGCAACAAGAUAGUGAUCCGAGUCGAUGUUAGACCCUCGGAGCGCACGCACAUCUAAAACACUGGAGACGUGUCUUCCGUCUAUCACAACAGGAUCGAUCUGGUUGGCAGUUUUUCGAUCCGGAGACAGCCAGGUAGCUUGAUGAAUUUUUUUAUGCUGGAAUCUAAUACUACAGAUAACCAUAUUUCGGGCCCCGGCGAAGACGAUCAGCCUCAACCCAUUUGGGGAUGUUUCGUCAUGGAGGCUGAAUGUACCGACCGUAGUGCCAAAGAUACCUUCUUUACCCACCCUGGCGUUAAAGUCGCCAAGCACGAUUUUGACAUCGUGGCGGGGGCAGCUCUCAUAAGUGCGCUCCAAGCACUCAUAAAAGACAUCUUUGGUCACAUCGUCCUUCUCUUCCGUCGGGGCGUGGGCGCAAAUCAGCGAUAUGUUGAAGAACCUCGCUUUGAUGCGGAUUGUGGCUAGGCGUUCAUUCACCGGAGUGAUUGAUAGUACUCGGCGACGGAGUCUCUCUCCCACCACGAGUCCAACACCAAAGUUGCGCUCCUUUAUAUGGCCACUGUAGUAAAUGUCACAAGGACCUACUCGUCUCAGUCCUUGUCCCGUCCAUCGCAUUUCUUGGACGGCGGUGAUGUCAGCCUUUAUUUUUGUGAGGACAUCAACCAGCUGGGCAGCAUCACCUUCCCAAUUAAGGAACCAGAUAUUCCAAAUGCAUGUCCUUAAAUCAUAGUCUUUAUUACGUUUGCUGUGGUCGUCACCAAAAGCGGGGAUACUUUCUCAAGGCUGUUGAUUUGUUUGGACUUUCCAAAAACGCCGCCGUCCGAAACUCUGCCAUUGCACCCGACAUCAAUAUAUAUAAAUCGGUAGUCCGCAUCCGCAAUGGCCAUAAGUACAAUACAUUAGCACCUUUAUAAUUAUAAAAGGUACUUCCAGACCGCGGCGGAGCCUUCAUCACAAUGUGUUUCCCGUCAACUGCGCCUAUACAAUGGGAAAAACUGCAUUUAUCAUUAAAUUUUUGGGCAAUGUCAAUCCACAUCUGUUCGUUGUUUGGAACCUUGGAAAUGUGUAAUGUGAUAUCAAUUUAUGUUUUUGAUGUGAUUAUGUAUAGCUACCUUUAAAUAUUCAUUUUUCAAAGCUUUGUAAAUUGCAUCGCAAACCUCCGGCACUCGUAGAUAUGGUAUUCGGCGCAAUGCGAAAGUCAACAGAUAAACUUUUGAAGCUGCCUCCAGAGGCAAGGAAGCGAAGUGUAACCGCCAAACGUUCAUUGGCGGGUAUUGCUUUGCGCAUAUUGGUGUAACUUUUUUUAUGUUUGGAGAGACUAAUACAAGAAUAUAAUUAAAAGUGGCUUCGUUCAUGCGAAGAUAAUUUUUAAACAAAUAUUUUUGAUUGUUCACUUCACGAAACUCGCACAGAGUUUUUGCAUACCCGCCGUCAGUACUUCUCCUACGAAGUCAAUCCAGCACCCAAACACUUCGCUUCUUCAAUGUUCGUUUUUCUUUUAUUUGUUUCUUUUUAUUAAUUAGGUGUACACAAAUACACAUAAUUGCCACUAUUUUCUUUUUUCUUAAUGAAGAAAUCAUUAUAUUUAAAAAUUAUAAAAUUACGUUCAAAUAUAUGUAAUUAUGUAUUCAAAGCUUAUCUACUUUAUUUAAGAUGACAAGCCCAAUCAUGUGACAGGGUUGCACAAAUAUCUGUCAUAUUAUUGAAGUGUACAAAUCAGUACAGAAAAAUUCUGGCUCAAGUACGCCAAUCGUGGGAACACUGAAAAUUGUAUACUAUACUGACCUAGUACCAUCACCCUGACUUGGAAUUUCUCACCCCCCAGAUUAGCUGUUGUACUGUGUAAUUAUAUGUAUAUGAGCACAUGUGCGACCACUUGGUCUUUUGAUAUGAUAUCAAAACUUUUAAUGACCGAAUCAAGUAAAUAUAAAAAUUUAUAACUACUUACCAUCAUAUUAUCAUUUUACUCAUUUAACACUGAAAAUGCUCAAUCCUGCUAUUUUCGUGUCCCCUGAUGCAAAACUCUGGUGACACACGCUUAUAAUUUGGCUGUGGUGAAACUCCCUUAUCUCUGAGUACCCCUGUGAAAAGUUACGAUAUAUGAAACGUGAACCUUCUCUAUGAUAAACGUUCCCUGUUUAUAUACUACGUUGAAUUAUAAAACAUAACAUAGUUACCAUAAGAACACAUUCAUAUUAGUUUAAUCUAUUACUUACCUUAAUUAUUUUUUAUUUCCUCGGAAUAUUAAACUUUCUCGUGACAGGCAAUUAGGCUCUUAAAUUGUAUUCUCGCAUUCCCAAGUUUUUCAGAUACCUAGCAUGUAUUGGCUUAAUAAUGCUCCCAGGAACAACUUUCAAGAUCUUCAGACAUUCCAUGAUGUCACUAGUUUCACUGACUGAAAAUAAGAAGACAACAGUUUUGGUAUACCAUAUUCACCAAUGCCUUCAGCGCAAAUAUUGUUACUUCUAGCAGAAACAAUUCAAAUUAUAGAAAGACAUAGGAAAACGUUUCCAAAACUCAAAAAAUUUGCAAUUUCAAUAAUUUUGAAAACUUUCUAUCUAAUAGUGGGGUCAAAUUUCGCAAAAUCAUCGAUUUUGAAAAUUAGCAGUUCCGGGGAUCAGAUAUAAAUAUUUCUUCAAAAUUCUUUUUUUUGUUAAAGUUAUUGAAGGUUGAAGUUUAGUGCACUAUAAAAUUGUAAAAUUAUUUUCUCAUAAACUACUAGAGAUAAAUCGAUAAAAUUUUGUGAAGUCAAAGAAAAAUUUUGGUGCUACAAUAUAUAUAUUUUUUCACGAUCCAUUUGUUCAAAUAAUAAUAUUUUACAUAUUUUUUUGUUAAACAAUUGAAAUUUUCAUGUGUUUUUCACGCUAUCUACAGAAGACAUUAUGAAUUUCAAUAAUUUUGGAAACUUUCUAUCUGAUAGUCGGGUCAAACCACGUUAAGUGGUCCAUGAAAAUUUCGCAAUAUCACAAAUUUUGAAAAUUCGCAGUUCAGUAGGAAGGGGAUCAGACGCAUACACCGUAAUAUAAAUAUUUCUUCAAAAUUCUAUUUUUUGUUAAAGUUAUUGAAUGUUAAAAUUUAGUGCACUAUGGAAUUGUAAAAUUAUUUUCUCAUAAACCACUAGAGAUAAAUCGAUGAAAUUUUGUGAAGUCAAAGAGAAAUGUUCGUGCUACAUUCUAGAUAUUUUUUCAGGAUCCAUUUAUUUAAAUAAUAAUAUUUUACAUAAUUUUAUGCUAAAUAAUUGAAAUUUUUCAUGUGUUCUUCACGCUAAAAAAGUAUGUGAUACAACGCGGAAAAUAUUCACCUUUAAUAAUCUGCAAAAAUUUUUUGUUCAUUUAUACCGUUCCACAGAUAUUGAAUUUUUCGUCCCCCUACCGCUCUUAAAACAGCAUUUGUAAUUCGAGUAUUUAGAAACCACAUAAAAUCAAAAGUUAAAACGUUAUUAACUAAAAUCUAUAUAUUUUUUCGUUCUCGUUACAAUUUUCCUUAUGAACUAUUUACAACUCAUAAAAUAUUCCGCCCUUUGAGACCCUAUCGAAAAAAUGCUCUAAGGUUAUCCCAGUAGCCGACAAUUUAUUUUAAAACAUUAAAAUCAAUUUUUUUAUACUCUUAAAUACUUAAAUUAAAAUAUUAAUAUACAUUUUUGUAUAUCUAUCUAUCUAUCCUAUCUUUAUCCGGAAUCGGUUACGCAAAAAGUUGUGGAUGUUAUUGUUAAUUUGAUAUAGCAGUAUCGACGCCGUAUUAAUAAAAAAAGCGGCAACUUCUUACUUGAAUUCCGUAUUAUUUCGGUAUGUGCGAUAUAAAAUCUAUAAGCGUGAGGAAUUUUUGCCAAAAAUUUGCCACUGCCGCUUUUAUUUAGGGAAGCCUUUCAUUUCAUUUUGUCGCACAGAAUAUGGUAGUUUUUUCAUCUAUCACGUAUCUUGAUAACAUUUGUCAUUUGGAGCUCUGAGGAUGUUGACAUUGCAGAUAAUCAAAUCGGAAAAUUGCCACGUUCACAAAUUAUUAUUAAUCGCAUAUAAGGCUAUAACUAAGUCAACAAUAAUGCUACGAAAGGAUGUGUCCUGUUCCUAAUAGAUUCAGUGCACAUACGUAUACAUAUGUAUUUUAAAUCAAUAUAUAGACAAAAUUUGGUAAAAAUAAGUCUCGCUCGCAUUCCACACAGUGGACAACCACGCUGAUCACCCAUCCGAGAGUUAUGUUGAAAACUGUUAAGAAUGGAUAAUUCUCUAACGAAGACAGUAGGAAAUAUUAAAUUUAACCACAAAUGCAGAUCACCUACUUUCAAGAUAAAACAAUAUUAUAUUACAUAAGAUUCUUUCUCUCACCAAUAGGUAAAUCUAUAUGACGUUAAAGAAAUGAAACAUUGUCUUCUCCUCUCAUAUCCCUUAAAUACUUACGAAAACUAUCUGGUCUGUUUAAAUUAAAUUUCUUUUCAUCACUGCAAUUCUUUAGGCAUGGCUUACAGCCGGUUUCUCGAAAUUCUUUCAUUGAAAAUUAAGUUCCAUUUAAUUUUAAUUUUGAUUUUUAUUUAACUUUGCACUCAAGUUUGCAGCGUUUCACCAUUAUUCAGAAUUGGCAACCCAAAAAUGACAAAGCAGGGAUGUUGGUAAGAAUAACAGCUGAUUUAUGUAAACAAAUAAAUUGUGGUGGUUAAAAAAAAUGGAAAUGUAGCUCAAAAACAUUUUUCAGCUACUGAUAUUUCUACUUUGCUAAGCCUAGUGCAGCAAAAUGCAAGUGUUUUGGAGUGUAAGGCCACAGGGAAAGUGAGUUCCGAUCAAACGGACAAGGUGUGGGAUGACAUAGCGGAGAGUUUCAACGCGGUUUGCUCCGGAGCACCGCGGUCAAAAAAAAUCUGCGAACCAAAUAUUUCAAUUUGAAAGCAGAUAUGAAAAGGCGAUCUGCAGACCACAAAAAAUAUGCGUAUGGAACGGGCGGAGGUUUAUACAAAAAGCCAGUUUACUCAUGGAUCAUUCAGAUUUUUGACAGGUGAAAUUGAUCCCCAGCAGCGAAAUAUACCAAACAAGGAAGUUAUGGAAAGUGAAAUGAUAGAAGAAGAAAAUGAUAAUGUAUCUAAUGAUAUCGACAUACGUGAACAAUCAACAAGCAAAAGAUUUCGUACUUCCAGCCCAAAACAUACAACUGAAAAAGAAGAUUUUGAGCCUUGGGAGCACUACACAUCAAUGCAAUUGAAAACGCCAAAAACAGGAAGCUGUGCGCUGAGAGUGUAAAUAGAAAACACACAAGUUGGGCUAAGCUAUCAGAUACAAAAUCAAAAUGGACGGAAAGAAAACUGAAACAAGAGGUUGAAUUUGCAAAAAUCGAACAUACGUUACGUGUAAAGCAAAUGAAAGAAGCACACGAACUACAACAACAACUAGUUAUUGAGAAGCAUGCCCUUGAAAUGCGAAUACUUGAGGAUCAACUAAAAGAAAAGUUAAAAUGCUUCAUAAUAAAUCAUCAGCUAGUUGAGCCUUUUUUACUUUCGUACAAAGUUUAAAAGUUUCGUUUAUAUGGUUUUUGUUUUGUAUAUGUACAGUGGCGCGCUUGUAAAAAUUUACAGAAUAAAUUUUGUUUAGUUCUUGCCUUA